Molecule: ribosomal RNA, 378 nt
Filed under: Bacillus sp. EFB(B)TB3
Lineage: Bacteria; Bacillati; Bacillota; Bacilli; Caryophanales; Bacillaceae
Description: bacterial SSU rRNA
Rfam family: Bacterial small subunit ribosomal RNA
Source: RNAcentral
UUCUCGGGGUUAUUGGGUCGUAAAGCGCGCGCAGGCGGCUUCUUAAGUCUGAUGUGAAAUCUUGCGGCUCAACCGCAAGCGGUCAUUGGAAACUGGGAGGCUUGAGUGCAGAAGAGGAGAGUGGAAUUCCACGUGUAGCGGUGAAAUGCGUAGAGAUGUGGAGGAACACCAGUGGCGAAGGCGGCUCUCUGGUCUGUAACUGACGCUGAGGCGCGAAAGCGUGGGGAGCAAACAGGAUUAGAUACCCUGGUAGUCCACGCCGUAAACGAUGAGUGCUAAGUGUUAGAGGGUUUCCGCCCUUUAGUGCUGCAGCUAACGCAUUAAGCACUCCGCCUGGGGAGUACGGCCGCAAGGCUGAAACUCAAAGGGAAUGACGGA